Molecule: ribosomal RNA, 253 nt
Filed under: uncultured bacterium
Lineage: Bacteria
Description: partial 16S ribosomal RNA
Rfam family: Bacterial small subunit ribosomal RNA
Source: RNAcentral
UACAGGGGGGGCAAGCGUUGUUCGGAAUUACUGGGCGUAAAGGGCUUGUAGGUGGCCAACUAAGUCAUACGUGAAAUCCCUCAGCUUAACUGGGGAACUGCGUGUGAUACUGGAUGGCUUGGAUGUGGGAGAGGGAUGCGGAAUUCCAGGUGUAGCGGUGAAAUGCGUAGAUAUCUGGAGGAAUACCGGUGGCGAAGGCGGCAUCCUGGACCGAGAUUGACACUGAUGAGCGAAAGCUAGGGGAGCAAACGGG